This 774-nucleotide long non-coding RNA is filed under the name Salmo salar (Atlantic salmon). RNAcentral describes it as "lncRNA (ENSSSAG00000105005.1)". The record is from RNAcentral. Lineage: Eukaryota; Metazoa; Chordata; Actinopteri; Salmoniformes; Salmonidae.
GUCCAAGUUGGCAAAAUAGUUAGUUAUAGUGGCCCAAGAAAAGUGUCCGAUAGACCUAUUCAGAUCGCAGCCGAAAAGACAGCUAACGAUUAGCGGGCCGCAGAUGGGCGAUCAGGUUACGUCGCGACGGAGGGGCCAGUUGGAUAACUCCCUCGGGCAGAUAACGUCGGUGGUCCAGUCGUGAAGACCCGAUGGGGCUCCGCAUCGGCAGUAAAACGGGUCAGGAUAGCCGGCUGACUAAGACUGACAUGGAGCUGGAGGUGCUGCGAUACACUAACCGGAUUUCCAGUGAAGCCCAUAAAGAGAUAAUGAAGCAUGUGAGACACAGACAGAAAGAAUAUGAAAUGGAGAGGUUGGUGGUUCCUGGUCCCCUAGCUGAUGCUGUCCCCCACCCCCCGGACAUCAAGUGAGGCCCAGCGUAUGCUGUCAGAUCCUUAUUGGACUCCUGACGUUGUGGGGGUCAACUCCAGUAUCUGGACUGGGAGGGGUAUGGGAGGCGUCUGCUCCUCCCCUCCGGCGUACAACGUCGCCAGAGUACUAACCAGUCAUCAUUACGCACACCUGGCACUCAUCAUUACACACACACCUGUGAAUCAUUAUGACUCACACCUGGACUCCAUUACCUUCAUAAUUUCCUCCCCUUUAUGUCACUCUCCCAUGUGCACUUACCAGUUGGUAUUGUUCUUGUGUCUCGGCGUACGUGUUCGUGUCGUGUUCUUGGUUUUGUUGUUUUAUUAAAAUGUUCACCUGCACCUGCUUCCGACUCACCACCCC